UAAGACCUGCGCUUUUGGAGCGGCCGAUGUCUGAUUAGCUUGUUGGUAAGGUAAAAGCUUACCAAGGCUUCGAUCAGUAGCUGGUCUGAGAGGACGGCCAGCCACACUGGGACUGAGACACGGCCCAGACUCCUACGGGAGGCAGCAGUGGGGAAUUUUGGACAAUGGGGGCAACCCUGAUCCAGCCAUGCCGCGUGAGUGAAGAAGGCCUUCGGGUUGUAAAGCUCUUUCAGCCGGAACGAAACGGUUACGGUUAAUACCCAUGACUACUGACGGUACCGGAAGAAGAAGCACCGGCUAACUACGUGCCAGCAGCCGCGGUAAUACGUAGGGUGCGAGCGUUAAUCGGAAUUACUGGGCGUAAAGCGUGCGCAGGUGGUUUUGUAAGUCAGAUGUGAAAGCCCCGGGCUCAACCUGGGAACU
This 423-nucleotide ribosomal RNA is filed under the name uncultured bacterium. Its description in RNAcentral is "bacterial SSU rRNA". It matches the Rfam family "Bacterial small subunit ribosomal RNA", at positions 207 to 622 of the family's 1533-position model. The record is from RNAcentral.